Long non-coding RNA from Parasteatoda tepidariorum (common house spider), 590 nucleotides. RefSeq lists it as uncharacterized. The record is from RefSeq and is a predicted model, not a curated record. Lineage: Eukaryota; Metazoa; Arthropoda; Arachnida; Araneae; Theridiidae.
AGUCAGAAACACUUUCUUUGAUAAUAAUAAAUGUUUAUUUAAAAUGAGUUCCUUUAUUUACAAAUAAACGCAAUUUCUUAAUUUUGUUACGAAGGAAAUUUUUGUAUGAAAGAAAUGGAUGUAUUAGCAACUGUUGAGCCAUUGUUCGCAUCUGUUGUACAUUAUUCUUUCGUUUCGUUUGUCUUGAUUCUGGCAAUAUUAAUAUUUACUUUAUAUACAGCUGCUUGCUGGCUGAUAAUGUAUCAUGCUAUUUUAAUUGAUGUUAAGUUCAUGAACGAUCUUAUUUAUGGGGAAGAGAGCGACAACCGAAGAAAAGACAAGAAAAAAAAAUAAUUAAUUUUGUAUAGAAUAUGACUAAUGCUGAACAGAUGUCUCUAUAUGAUCUGAAAUUAUAAAGAAAUUACAAAAGAAAUUUCCUUCUUGUAUGUACAUUGACUUAAAGAAGCAUAUUGUCUCAUACUGCCUUUUUUUUACAUUUUAAAUGUCUUAAAAAUGUAUUUUCUUCAUAAGCUUCAUAAAGAAAAUCUUGCGUAUUAUAUAUAGUUCAUGUGUAUUAUUUGAAUAAAUAAAAAAUUUAUGUACUGUUUUAA